Molecule: ribosomal RNA, 301 nt
Filed under: uncultured bacterium
Lineage: Bacteria
Description: partial 16S ribosomal RNA
Rfam family: Bacterial small subunit ribosomal RNA
Source: RNAcentral
CAGUCGCCGCGGGAAUACGUAGGUGGCAAGCGUUGUCCGGAAUUAUUGGGCAUAAAGGGCUCGCAGGCGGUUUCUUAAGUCUGAUGUGAAAGCCCCCGGCUCAACCGGGGAGGGUCAUUGGAAACUGGGAAACUUGAGUGCAGAAGAGGAGAGUGGAAUUCCACGUGUAGCGGUGAAAUGCGUAGAGAUGUGGAGGAACACCAGUGGCGAAGGCGACUCUCUGGUCUGUAACUGACGCUGAGGAGCGAAAGCGUGGGGAGCGAACAGGAUUAGAUACCCCCGUAGUCCCUGUCUCUUAUAC